GCUAAUGCGGGGCCACCGGAGGCGGUAUUAGGGAGGGGGCUAGCGUUGUGCGGGUGUAGUGGGCGUAAAGCGCGCGUAGGCGGCCAUGCAAGUGAGGCGUGAAAGGCCUGGGCUCAACCUGGGAACUGCGCUUCAGACUGCACUGCUUGAGUCCGGGAGAGGGUGGUGGAAUUCCCAGUGUAGAGGUGAAAUUCGUAGAUAUUGGGAGGAACACCAGUGGCGAAGGCGGCCACCUGGCCCGGUACUGACGCUCAAGUGCGAAAGCGUGGGGAGCAAACAGGAUUAGAUACCCGAGUAGUC
RNAcentral lists this ribosomal RNA (300 nucleotides) under uncultured Paenibacillus sp. Its description in RNAcentral is "bacterial SSU rRNA". It matches the Rfam family "Bacterial small subunit ribosomal RNA", at positions 496 to 795 of the family's 1533-position model. The record is from RNAcentral. Lineage: Bacteria; Bacillati; Bacillota; Bacilli; Caryophanales; Paenibacillaceae.